AAAAAUAUGAUGAUAAAGACUAGUAGAGUUAUUUAAUCUAUAAGAGAGGAAGCGGAAGGUGGAAAGCUUCUUAGAUUUUUAAUUUGAAUUCACUUUUGAAUGGCUCUAAUCAAGCCCGUUUUCUGCGUUAAAGAAUUUGAGUGCAGUAUUUUAUACUGAACUAAGGUGGUACCGCGAUAAUGUCGUCCUUGGA
Molecule: non-coding RNA, 193 nt
Filed under: Clostridium sp.
Lineage: Bacteria; Bacillati; Bacillota; Clostridia; Eubacteriales; Clostridiaceae
Description: T-box sequence
Rfam family: T-box leader
About the family: Uncharged tRNA acts as the effector for transcription antitermination of genes in the T-box leader family.
Source: RNAcentral